Molecule: ribosomal RNA, 497 nt
Filed under: uncultured bacterium
Lineage: Bacteria
Description: partial 16S ribosomal RNA
Rfam family: Bacterial small subunit ribosomal RNA
Source: RNAcentral
GAUGAACGCUGGCGGCGUGCCUAAUACAUGCAAGUCGAGCGAACAGAUGAGGAGCUUGCUCCUCUUACGUUAGCGGCGGACGUGUGAGUAACACGUGUAUAACCUACCUAUAAUACUGGGAUAACUUCGGGAAACCGGAGCUAAUACCGGAUAAUAUAUUGAACCGCAUGGUUCAAUAGUGAAAGACGGUUUUGCUGUCACUUAUAGAUUGAUCCGCGCCGCAUUAGCUAGUUGGUAAGGUAACGGCUUACCAAGGCAACGAUGCGUAGCCGACCUGAGAGGGUGAUCGGCCACACGGGAACUGAGACACGGUCCAGACUCCUACGGGAGGCAGCAGUAGGGAAUCUUCCGCAAUGGGCGAAAGCCUGACGGAGCAACGCCGCGUGAGUGAUGAAGGUCUUCGGAUCGUAAAACUCUGUUAUUAGGGAAGAACAAAUGUGUAAGUAACUAUGCACGUCUUGACGGUACCUAAUCAGAAAGCCACGGCUAACUACGUG